UGUACACACCGCCCGUCACACCAUGGGAGUUGGCCACGCCCGAAGCCGUUACCCUAACCUUUUAGGAGGGGGGCGUCGAAGGUGGGGCUGAUGACUGGGGUGAAGUCGUAACAAGGUAGCCGUACCGGAAGGUGUGGCUGGAUCACCUCCUUUUAAGGAGACCUAUCUACUCAUUUAUGCAGUUUUUAUCGCUGAAUGAAGUAGGUCAACUUAGGUCGGUCAGGACUUAUUUGGGCGGCUUUCAAUAUUGUCGGGUUUUAUGGGCUAUUAGCUCAGGUGGUUAGAGCGCACCCCUGAUAAGGGUGAGGUCCCUGGUUCGAGUCCAGGAUGGCCCACUGAGUGGGGGUAUAGCUCAGUUGGUAGAGCGCCUGCUUUGCAAGCAGGAUGUCAGCGGUUCGAGUCCGCUUACCUCUACCAUUGACGAUAGUUGGGAUUAGAGAGUAGCACCGUACUUGCCUGUUAGGUGAGGUAAGCUGCUGAGCUCUAAGUUCAGCGACAGACCCUUGACAACUGCAUAGAGAGAAAGAGUCAAAAGGUAGUUAAAGACAAAACUAUUCGCAACGAAUAGAGAGAAGGUCAAGCUACAAAGGGCUCACGGUGGAUACCUAGGCACACAGAG
Molecule: unclassified non-coding RNA, 619 nt
Filed under: filamentous cyanobacterium MACC30
Lineage: Bacteria; Bacillati; Cyanobacteriota
Description: partial contains 16S ribosomal RNA, 16S-23S ribosomal RNA intergenic spacer, and 23S ribosomal RNA
Rfam family: Bacterial small subunit ribosomal RNA (bases 1-153)
Source: RNAcentral